Molecule: long non-coding RNA, 1354 nt
Organism: Myodes glareolus (Bank vole)
Lineage: Eukaryota; Metazoa; Chordata; Mammalia; Rodentia; Cricetidae
Source: RefSeq, a predicted model, not a curated record
AAACCCGCUCCCUGCACGGGUGGAGGAUGGGGAGGGGGCUGGGAGGAGUCAAGAGGGAGGGAAACAGCAAUCACGCGGUUAGCCUGGGUUUGGGUGGCCACUGUGAGAACAGAGGAGCGGAGGUAGCAUCGGGGGAGAAGCCCAGGAUUGACAACACAGUUCUCACAAGCCUUAAAUCCAGGGCAGGAAUUUGGUCCGAGUGCCUGAACUUGCUAUCCAGAGGAUAACACGCCCAGCAAGAGGUGAAGCUCUCCUUGAUGGGAUGUGAGGGAGAAAGCUAGCUGGCGUACGGACUCACUCUAUAACCAGCCAAUCCGCUCGAGCUGUUCAUCGCAAAGAAUCACCGCUGUGGUUCCCGGUCCCUGACCUCUGCUCCACCUCCGACACUGGGCCCUCGCUGGGACUCACCCUGGACGUCCGUGGAGAUCCUGCAGCCCUCUUAACUCUCUUCUUUAAAAGAAAGUCCUACUCCAGCAGAACAUCAGAGCGAGGGGUUAUGACAAGAUCUCACUAUGUGGCCCCGGGGUGACUUUCAGUCCUGUUCUCACCCCCCAAGUGCUGGGAUUUAAACCUGCUGCCACCCCCAGCAGGAGAACAGCUUUGAAAGUGCUUUGAUCAACUGUUUCUGAAGCCCAGGCGCAGUGUGAGAGCUUGCUUCUUUCACUAAUGUUUUCUUCUUGUAUUAACAUUGCUUUGCAACUAGGCCAUGGCACAGGAGUGCUCUGUCCCCAAACUCAAUUCUAGGGGAGACUUUCUUUUCUUUUCUUUUUUUUCUUUUCUUUUUUCUUUAAAAUGUGUUUAAUGCAAGUCUGGGUGGGGGGAAAAAAAAAACAAACAAACCUCAGACUGGCAGAACAUGUUUUCAGGCAAAGUAUCAGAAUAAGUAAAAUGAGAUAGACAGGAAAAAAAAAUCCACAAGCAUUGACAAGUUUGGGUGGGGUAGAGUGGCAUUUUUAUGUAUGACUGUAGCAGUACAAAUUGCCACACCGCCUAUGGAAAGCAGUGUGGCGUUUCCCGACAAUGCUCGACAAAUGUACCGUCCUGGCCCAGAAGCUCCACUGGAAGGUGUGCCUUCAAUACUGAGGCCCAAAAACACUCAGCAGAAGGUCCACAGGGAACGCUCUGAGUGGUCCCAGCCAUGCAUCUCUAAUAGGGAAUAGCACUUAUGUUCAUUCAUGUUGUGACAGAUAUGCUGUGCUGCAUUUAUUUAGGGGGAUUCUAAUCAGUUAUGUGAAGUUAGAAGCUGCUACGGAACCAGGCGGUGGUAGCACACGCCUUUAAUUCCAGCACUCAGGAGGCAGAGGCAGGUGGAUCUCUGUGAGUUCGAGGCCAGCCUGGUCUACAAGAGCUAGUU